GGGAUAACACUUAGAAAUAGGUGCUAAUACCGCAUAAGCGCACGGUUCCGCAUGGAACAGUGUGAAAAACUCCGGUGGUAUACGAUGGAUCCGCGUCUGAUUAGCCAGUUGGCGGGGUAACGGCCCACCAAAGCGACGAUCAGUAGCCGGCCUGAGAGGGUGAACGGCCACAUUGGGACUGAGACACGGCCCAAACUCCUACGGGAGGCAGCAGUGGGGAAUAUUGCACAAUGGGGGAAACCCUGAUGCAGCGACGCCGCGUGAGUGAAGAAGUAUCUCGGUACGUAAAGCUCUAUCAGCAGGGAAGAAAAUGACGGUACCUGACUAAGAAGCCCCGGCUAACUACGUGCCAGCAGCCGCGGUAAUACGUAGGGGGCAAGCGUUAUCCGGAUUUACUGGGUGUAAAGGGAGCGUAGACGGCAGCGCAAGUCUGGAGUGAAAUGCCGGGGCCCAACCCCGGAACUGCUUUGGAAACUGUGCAGCUCGAGUGCAGGAGAGGUAAGCGGAAUUCCUAGUGUAGCGGUGAAAUGCGUAGAUAUUAGGAGGAACACCAGUGGCGAAGGCGGCUUACUGGACUGUAACUGACGUUGAGGUUCGAAAGCGUGGGGAGCAAACAGGAUUAGAUACCCUGGUAGUCCACGCCGUAAACGAUGAUUACUAGGUGUCGGGGGGCCAAGGCCCUCCGGUGCCGCCG
RNAcentral lists this ribosomal RNA (694 nucleotides) under uncultured bacterium. RNAcentral's name for it is "bacterial SSU rRNA". It matches the Rfam family "Bacterial small subunit ribosomal RNA", at positions 140 to 851 of the family's 1533-position model. The record is from RNAcentral.